This 497-nucleotide ribosomal RNA is filed under the name uncultured bacterium. Its description in RNAcentral is "partial 16S ribosomal RNA". It matches the Rfam family "Bacterial small subunit ribosomal RNA", at positions 28 to 507 of the family's 1533-position model. The record is from RNAcentral.
GAUGAACGCUGGCGGCGUGCCUAAUACAUGCAAGUCGAGCGAACGGACGAGAAGCUUGCUUCUCUGAUGUUAGCGGCGGACGGGUGAGUAACACGUGGAUAACCUACCUAUAAGACUGGGAUAACUUCGGGAAACCGUAGCUAAUACCGGAUAAUAUUUUGAACCGCAUGGUUCAAAAGUGAAAGACGGUCUUGCUGUCACUUAUAGAUGGAUCCGCGCUGCAUUAGCUAGUUGGUAAGGUAACGGCUUACCAAGGCAACGAUGCAUAGCCGACCUGAGAGGGUGAUCGGCCACACUGGAACUGAGACACGGUCCAGACUCCUACGGGAGGCAGCAGUAGGGAAUCUUGCGCAAUGGGCGAAAGCCUGACGGAGCAACGGCGCGUGAGUGAUGAAGGUCUUCGGAUCGUAAAACUCUGUUAUUAGGGAAGAACAUAUGUGUAAGUAACUGUGCACAUCUUGACGGUACCUAAUCAGAAAGCCACGGCUAACUACGUG